GAGUGGAGCCUGCGGCUUAAUUCGACUCAACACGGGAAAACUCACCCGGCCCGGACACUGGAAGGAUUGACAGAUUGAGAGCUCUUUCUUGAUUCGGUGGGUGGUGGUGCAUGGCCGUUCUUAGUUGGUGGAGCGAUUUGUCUGGUUAAUUCCGAUAACGAACAAGACUCAAACCUACUAACUAGACGAUCGAUUUGGGCGAGCUGUUUCCUGCCUCCGGGUAGGAGCGGCACUGCCUCCGUCGGUCGAUAACUUCUUAGAGGAACAAGCGGCGCUCAGCCGCACGAGAUUGAGCAAUAACAGGUCUGUGAUGCCCUUAGAUGUCCGGGGCCGCACGCGCGCUACACUGAAGGAAUCAGCGUGUGUCCUUCCCUGGUCCGGCAGGACGGGGUAACCAGCUGAACCUCCUUCGUGGUAGGGAUCGGGGUUUGCAAUUGUUCCCCGUGAACGAGGAAUUCCUAGUAAGCGCGAGUCAUAAGCUCGCGUUGACUACGUCCCUGCCCUUUGUACACACCGCCCGUCGCUACUACCGAUUGAAUGAUUUAGUGAGGUCUUCGGACUGGCAGUCGCUGCGGCCUCUAGGUCGCGGCAACGCGUCGGGAAGAUGACCGAACUUGACCAUUUAGAGGAAGUAAAAGUCGUAACAAGGUUUCC
This 654-nucleotide ribosomal RNA is filed under the name Parascutigera guttata. Its description in RNAcentral is "SSU rRNA". It matches the Rfam family "Eukaryotic small subunit ribosomal RNA", at positions 1174 to 1804 of the family's 1831-position model. The record is from RNAcentral. Lineage: Eukaryota; Metazoa; Arthropoda; Chilopoda; Scutigeromorpha; Scutigeridae.